Molecule: long non-coding RNA, 1021 nt
Filed under: Androctonus crassicauda
Lineage: Eukaryota; Metazoa; Arthropoda; Arachnida; Scorpiones; Buthidae
Source: RNAcentral
GUUGCUUUCUUUAUACUGCUUUUAUCCAUGAAUUAUAAAAGAGAGAUAAUUAUUUAAGGAGAGUUAUGUCUUAUAUAAGAGGUAUAUAGAUGACCUGAUGAUUAUUUAACACUAAGAUCAAGGAAUUUGAAAAGGUCUUCACAAGUAGAAAUUAUGGGCUUAAGUUAAAGUUAGACAAAAGAAGCACUUCAGAAAUCCAUUGUCUAAGUGUAGAAAUCACUAAGACAACAGUGAACUAUGACACUAAAGUUUACCAAAAGCCCAACAUAAGAAGGGUAGUCAUUCCUAGAUGGUCUCCAGAUCCCUCUAAAUAUGAGGAGGCAGCAUUUGGGACAUACUUUAAGAGGAUCUCAUUCCACAGUACCACAAUUGAGUCCUUAAGAGAUAAGAAGAACAUAUGAGACAGGACUUAGACACGGUACACAAAAUCUUACAUGAGGGUGUUACAGAAGACAGCAGAAAAGAAGAUUAAAGAAGUAUCUAAUACAGAUACAGAUAGAGACAUUACAAAAAGACCAGAGGAAACCAGAAUGGAGUCUAUCACAUACCGUAUAUCAAAGAGUGAUAUAAUCAGAAAGGCCAUUAAGAGAGAGAAUAGAAAACCAGUGAGUACCAAUAAUAGAUAUAGAAAUAGGAGAAAAUAAAGAGUACAUAGGGGAGACAAAACGGCUGUUAACAAAAAGGCUCAGUGAACAUAAAGUGAAUGUAAAGAAAGGCCACAUAAACAUAGUUCUUGCUAGAAUUGUUUAUGAAAGUAACAUCAAUGUACUGUGGGACAAAGAAAGGAUGAUUAAGAAAAUCACUGAAGGGGAAGAUAGAAUGAUAAUACAAGCUCUCCAGAUGAUGAAAAAUGAAAGAGAAUGAAUGGUCAUCAAUGAUCAUUUUACAGACGGCCCCAAAAACAUGGAUAUUUGCUAUAGAAAAAAUGUAGAUGAAGGAUUCAAAUUUAAAAGUUUAUUAUAAGAAAGCUUAGUUUUUGAUAUUAAUAAUAUAUUUGUUACAUAUGUUAAUUAUAUUUAAU